AGUUGCACGGUGGCCGCCCCCAAAUUCGAGGAGGAAGGUGCAAAGUGGUGGGAGGCUGCGGGUCUCCCGGAGGGUGAGGCGUUGGGGACCAGGCGGGAGCACAGCCGAACCCCUACCUUUCGGGCGGGGCGGACACCAGCCGCGCGCCCUCGCCGGGCGCCGGGACCGGAAAAUCACCGCGAAGGGAGGGACGAGGAAAGGCGGCGGGUGGCUUCAGGACAAGGACUUUGUGAUUACAUUGGGCCCAUCCAGAUCAUCCAGGAUCAUCUUCCCAUCUCAAGAUUCUUCACUUAAUCACAUCUGCAAAAUUCCUUUUGCUGUGUAAGCUGUGAGAUAUCGGUGGGCGAGGAUGUGAUGCCUGAAGAUGUGGCAUCUACCUUGAAACAGUCAAGGACCUGAGGAUGAAGCCAGCAUCUGAGGAAGACAGACAGAAAGGAUCUGGAUACAUCAUGAGCCUGAAAAGUAUCUUGCAUACACAACUGGCAGCACAGAAUCCUGACAAACCUCUCAUCAGAAAUCAACCACAGACUCUUUAUGCUCUUACCAAAAUGCUGGCUUUGAGAACUAAUUAUGAAUGAAAAUUACUGAUGUGAUUUUCAGUCUAGGGAAGAAUAUCAAGUUAAACUUUAUGAAGUCCAAGACAAUGGGAAAAGAAGAGGUGUUCCUGUCCAGGCCCUCUUCCAGUUAGAAGGUUGAUUCUGUUAUACAAGUACAGAAUAACUGCAGUACAAAACAGCAAUCAAGUCUGAACAGGAAAUCUCUGGACAAAGAGAAAAAUACUAUCAUUGAAAUAAGGGACAAGGGAUUAUGGCAAUAUUAAAUAAUGGCACUGAUUAGUGAAAUGAUUCUAGGGGGAAGUGUCAAAAGAUUUUCUAAAGAACAUGUACUGAGCAGAUGAUCGCUGACUGCAUAAUUGCCCUUUCUGGGUAGGUGUGUAAGACACACACACGCACACACACGUUUGGGAGAAUUGUGACCAUCGGGUUCCAUAGUAACAAGAUAAGUUAUAAUAGCCACCUUUCAUUGAGCACCUACAAUAUGUCACAAACUGUGAUAGGGACUUUAUGUAUUUCAAUACACUAUCUGUUAUCUAUUUUCCUUUUUUUUUGGAGACGGAGUUUCACUCUUGUUGCCCAGGCUGGAGUGUGAUCUCGGCUGGUGCUAUCUCGGCUCAUGGCAACUUCUACUUCCCGGGUUCAAGUGAUACUCCUGUCUCAGCCUCCCGAGUAGCUGGGAUUACAGGCAUGCACUACCACGCCUGGCUAAUUUUGUAUUUUUAGUAGAGACGGGGUUUCUCCUUGUUGGUCAGGCUGGUCUCAAACUCCCGACCUCAGGUGAUCUGCCAGCCUCGGCCUCCUGAAGUCCUGGGAUUACAGGCGUGAUCCAUCUCACCCGGCCUUGUUACCUAUUUUCUAUUGGUAACUGAGGUAAAACCUAUUGGAGGCUUAGCAGUAGGUUCAUGUGUUCAUACAUUUUGGGGAAUGUAAGAGAGUAUCAGGGCAAUUGAUUAUUGCCUUUGUGGGUUGAAAGCAGCAACACAGGAAUAGAUUGCUGAUAUGAAGAGUGAGAUGACCUGUAGAGUAAGCAAUCUAACCAUUAACAUCAACUCAACUUGGGCAAUAAAAUUUGAUAUUUUACUUAUGGGACAAAUAUUUAUUGAGUGUCCAGUUUGUGUCAGGUACUAAAUACGUAAGCUUUACUAAUCCCACUUCUAGAAGAAUGAUUUCUUUUUCUUUUUGAAAUAACACUUCAGCAGAGCACCACAUUGUUUCAGACUUAAGUUUCCUUUUCCAUUUUGUCGACACCAACAGUGUUCUUAUAAUAUUAACUCACCAACAUUUAGUCUAUAAUAUGAUUGCCAGGGAUGUGGCAAUAUGUCCUUGGGAGCUUCAAGCCAUAUAUAUCUGGUCCAUCUUUUGGAAAGUUCAUGACAUAGAUGGGCAAGGAUACAAUUUAUACUCAGGAGAUGCAGCCACCCUAACAGAGUUACAAAUGAAUGUUAAAUGACAUAAACUAUGCGUAGUGCAAGCACGGAAGCAUCUCUUUGGUCUGAGGGAUAUUUGCAGGGACCUUGAAUAGGCAGAGAGAGGGGGACAUGUGGUCUAAGCCUCUGAGUUGGGAGAGGACAAUGAUGGGCAUGGGGGAGAAUGUAUAUGCUGUUUGACUUGAGAGGAUGACAUGUAGGCAUUAUGGUAGUCUUUUUCUUGACAUCUGAUACACAAUCACUUCUUUCUUUUCUCCAUGAAAUCUAGCCACAAAGAUGAGUUGCUCAAAUGUCAAGGUCUACCCCUCUUUAAAGCCUCCAUGAUUUGCACUCUCUGCAGCCUUGGCCAGGAUUGUCCUUAUCUUGCCCUGUCGCUGAUGGGUUAUUUACUACUCAUCUUUCAAGGGCCGGGUAGAAUUUUACCUAUUCUGAGACACCUUCAAGCAGAAUGAGUCUUUCCUUUGCUGUGCUCCCAUGACACAAUGCUCAUCUUCAAUAAAUAAUUAUAUUUUUUGUACCUUCAGUGUAUCAUGUUCAUCUUUGCAUCCCCAGUUUCCUCAAGAAUCCUGGCAUGAAAGAAUAUGCUUGUUGAGUGAAUAAAUUGGCUGAUUCUAAUGUUCAUAAGGCAAAGUUCACCUGUCCUAAUUGCUGAUUCAAUUCCAAUUUGACAGUGUCUUACAGAUUCUGGGUAAAUUGGGAUACUUCCCUUUGUCCUAACAUUGGAAAACCUUGGAGAAAAGUAUUGUUAUUUUCUACAUCAAGUACUUUAUCUGAGACAUGGGCAGCUAAAUAAAAAAUUGACACCUAUUUCCUGCUUUUUGCUGAUGUUCUUUUAGCAUUCUAUUUAUAUGCUAACACUACCAUUUUAGACCCUUGAAAAUCAUUUUUUUAGCAUCACUCUAUAUAUGGUAUGAUUUAAGGACAGAUAGGGAGGCUGUGUCCUCAAUCCUCAUUCUAUACAUUUUUUCUGAUGUCUAUUAGUCCAUUAUUAAUGAUACAUUCUUUAGGUCAGGAUUUCUCAACCUUGGCACUAUUGACACUUUGGGCUAGAUCUUUGUUAUGAAGGGCUGUCCCGUGCAUUGUAGGAUGUUUAGCAGCAUUCUUGCCCUGUAGCAAUUGACCCACUAGAUGCCAGUAGUGCCUUCCUUCUGGUUGUCACAACCAAAA
RNAcentral lists this long non-coding RNA (3151 nucleotides) under Homo sapiens (human). RNAcentral describes it as "lncAB411.1". The record is from RNAcentral. Lineage: Eukaryota; Metazoa; Chordata; Mammalia; Primates; Hominidae.